This 323-nucleotide ribosomal RNA is filed under the name uncultured eukaryote. RNAcentral describes it as "partial 18S ribosomal RNA". It matches the Rfam family "Eukaryotic small subunit ribosomal RNA", at positions 1470 to 1796 of the family's 1831-position model. The record is from RNAcentral.
CCCUUAGAUGUUCUGGGCCGCACGCGUGCUACACUGAACGGUUCAAUGGGUAAGGUAGUGCGAAAGCAUGACCUAAUCUCGAAAUCCGUUCGUGCUGGGGAUAGAAGCUUGCAAUUAUCCUUCUUGAACGAGGAAUACCUUGUAAGCGUGAGUCAUCAUCUCACGCUGAAUACGUCCCUGCCCUUUGUACACACCGUCCGUCGCUCCUACCGAUUGAGUGUUCCGGUGAGGCUUUGGGAGAAUGGCCUCAACAUGAGUUUAUCGUGUUUUGCCGUUUGAACUUAGUCAAACCUUAUCACUUAGAGGAAGGAGAAGUCGUAACA